GAGGUUGAAAGGAGCUUUGCAGAAGCCUUACAGAAGGAGAGGCUAAAGUGCCAGAUGGAAUAUAUCGAAUCAGUGAAGAAGCUGGAGGAAAAGAUGGUGGCCAAUCAGAAAAAGCAUGGUCGUGAUAGCUUCCUCAAUGAAAAAUGCAAUGGAGAGGUGCUGGGUACUUCUACUUCUGAAGAAGUUUCUGAGAUAAAAAAGUUGCUUCAAAAUGAAACUCAGCUAAGAAAGACAGCCGAAGAAGAGGUCAAGAAGCUUAAGAGUCAGUUAGAGAAUUUUAUGCAAUCUAUGGCAGGUGGAGAUGCGGAGAUUGUAAAGGUUCACAGAAUGCUGGAAGAUGAGACUCAUAAAAAUAAGAAACUGGAAGAAGAUAUUUUGAUUCUACAAAGUCAGUUAUUGCA
Molecule: unclassified non-coding RNA, 401 nt
Filed under: Hevea brasiliensis (rubber tree)
Lineage: Eukaryota; Viridiplantae; Streptophyta; Magnoliopsida; Malpighiales; Euphorbiaceae
Source: RNAcentral